AAUGAACGCUGGCGGCAGGCCUAACACAUGCAAGUCGAACGGAUCCUUCGGGAUUAGUGGCGGACGGGUGAAUAACGCGUGGGAACAUACCCUUUGGUACGGAAUAGCCUCGGGAAACUGGGAGUAAUACCGUAUGUGGUCGAGAGACGAAAGAUUUAUCGCCAAAGGAUUGGCCCGCGUUGGAUUAGGUAGUUGGUGGGGUAAUGGCCUACCAAGCCGACGAUCCAUAGCUGGUUUGAGAGGAUGAUCAGCCACACUGGGACUGAGACACGGCCCAGACUCCUACGGGAGGCAGCAGUGGGGAAUCUUAGACAAUGGGGGAAACCCUGAUCUAGCCAUGCCGCGUGAUCGAUGAAGGCCUUAGGGUUGUAAAGAUCUUUCAGGUGGGAAGAUAAUGACUGUACCACCAGAAGAAGCCCCGGCUAACUUCGUGCCAGCAGCCGCGGUAA
This 449-nucleotide ribosomal RNA is filed under the name uncultured bacterium. RNAcentral describes it as "partial 16S ribosomal RNA". It matches the Rfam family "Bacterial small subunit ribosomal RNA", at positions 29 to 523 of the family's 1533-position model. The record is from RNAcentral.